This 214-nucleotide ribosomal RNA is filed under the name Salmonella enterica. RNAcentral's name for it is "partial 16S ribosomal RNA". It matches the Rfam family "Bacterial small subunit ribosomal RNA", at positions 1 to 214 of the family's 1533-position model. The record is from RNAcentral. Lineage: Bacteria; Pseudomonadati; Pseudomonadota; Gammaproteobacteria; Enterobacterales; Enterobacteriaceae. RNAcentral also lists the same sequence under 1 other name.
AAAUUGAAGAGUUUGAUCAUGGCUCAGAUUGAACGCUGGCGGCAGGCCUAACACAUGCAAGUCGAACGGUAACAGGAAGCAGCUUGCUGCUUUGCUGACGAGUGGCGGACGGGUGAGUAAUGUCUGGGAAACUGCCUGAUGGAGGGGGAUAACUACUGGAAACGGUGGCUAAUACCGCAUAAUGUCGCAAGACCAAAGAGGGGGACCUUCGGGC